Gigantopelta aegis is the source of this 1233-nucleotide long non-coding RNA. RefSeq lists it as uncharacterized. The transcript has 3 exons. The record is from RefSeq and is a predicted model, not a curated record. Lineage: Eukaryota; Metazoa; Mollusca; Gastropoda; Neomphalida; Peltospiridae.
UUUUGGGUUUUUUAAUCUGAAUUUUCACACACAUAAUAAUAAAAAUGUUAGUUUUUUUGUUAAAUCACAAGGAAGAAAAAUAAAGUAAGCUGGUAUAUCACUCCCAUCCCUGGUCCUCACAAAUCCAUUUAUAGAAACUACAAUCCAUAGGCAAGAUUUUUUUUUUUUUUUUUUUUUUUUGGGGUGUGUGGGCGAAUUCUUCGUGAUGGGAUCAUCACAACAACAAAAAAAUACCCACACCUUUAGGUAACGUUAUCUAUAUUCGCUAGAAAAAAUAUGAGCUUUGGUAUUAAAAAAAAGAAGGAAAAAAAAGGUGAUGCCAUACGCACCUCUCCCACCCCCCCCCCCCCCCCCCCCCCCCCCCCCCCCCACCCCCAUGCGUACGGAACUGUGUUAUGUCGCAUACAUAAUCCGACUAGAUCUGUUUUAAUAUGUAUUUGCAAACGUAAUUACUUUCAUUUAUAAUAUAAUAAAGACAGUAUAAAAUUAUGCAUAACACUGGCUCUUGAAAAUGUUUAGUGAAAUCUUUACACAGGAAUCUGUACAUUUAAAUUCUAUUUAUUUAUAAUUCAAUUAAUUGGAAUCUGGAUAAUAAUUACGUUGUGUUUUGUUAUUACAUUGUUUAUUUCAUUAUAUGCAGAGUAAUCAUUUAUAAUGCUUAACAGACAGAAGGCCACAAAGGCGCUAGAUUAGUACAUAAUUAUGAUAAUAAUAAUAAUAAUAAUAAUUAUUAUUAUUAUAAGUCUGUGUCGUCUUAAAAGACGAACGAAGGUUAAAAGCGAUAAUAUGAUUGGUCGGUUCCUAAACAGUCAUACCUGGGAUUUGAUUGGCUUAGAGAUAACAACAGGAAAAAACGCGCCAUUUGCAGUUUGCCAAAAUAAAUUUAAUAAUAAAUAAUGACAAAAGAUUGUGUAUUUUGCAUUAUGAAUUGGAUUUGAGAUCGUUUUGAUUGAGCAGAAACAAUCACAGUUUAUUACCGAAUACUUGGCUAUGGCGGAAAAUGAAGAACUUCGAUCAAGUUUCGGAUGUCCUACUAUUUUCGUCACGUUUGGAAGGAAAAAAAGAAAAAUCGUCAGCACAUUCUGGUCAUCAUAUUAUGGAAAUAUUUGUGACUGAAUCCCAUCUGAAUGUUGGAUGACAUAUAUCAAGAUGACACUGAACAGGACAUAACUGAGGAAAAUGGAUGUGAGAUAAUCCAAUCUAACAGUUGGAAAUAAAUAUAUAUAGUAUUUA